This 460-nucleotide ribosomal RNA is filed under the name uncultured bacterium. Its description in RNAcentral is "partial 16S ribosomal RNA". It matches the Rfam family "Bacterial small subunit ribosomal RNA", at positions 338 to 795 of the family's 1533-position model. The record is from RNAcentral.
CCUACGGGAGGCUGCAGUGAGGAAUAUUGGUCAAUGGACGAGAGUCUGAACCAGCCAAGCCGCGUGAAGGAUGACUGUCCUAUGGGUUGUAAACUUCUUUUAUCUGGGAAUAAAAGAGGGUAUGCAUACCCUCUUGUAUGUACCAUAUGAAUAAGGAUCGGCUAACUCCGUGCCAGCAGCCGCGGUAAUACGGAGGAUCCGAGCGUUAUCCGGAUUUAUUGGGUUUAAAGGGUGCGUAGGGGGAUUGUUAAGUCAGUUGUGAAAGUUUGCGGCUCAACCGUAAAAUUGCAGUUGAAACUGGCAGUCUUGAGUACAGUAGAGGUGAGCGGAAUUCGUGGUGUAGCGGUGAAAUGCGUAGAUAUCACGAAGAACUCCAAUUGCGAAGGCAGCUCACUGGACUGCAACUGACACUGAUGCUCGAAAGUGUGGGGAUCAAACAGGAUUAGAUACCCGUGUAGUC